This is a long non-coding RNA of Homo sapiens (human), 2060 nucleotides long. Ensembl annotates it as long intergenic non-protein coding RNA 511. Lineage: Eukaryota; Metazoa; Chordata; Mammalia; Primates; Hominidae. The record is from Ensembl.
AGUGGUGACUGGGUGGGGAGAAGGGAAGCGCACUUAUAUAGACUCAUGUAUAAAUAGAUACUUGUAAUAUACGAGCAUCUGCUCUGUGGAAGAUGUUUUUUUCCAGGCCCAGAAGUGUAAGAUCCGGUGCCUAUCUUCAGGCGGGUGGCAAACAAACAUCACAUAAAGGAGAGUGUCUGGCUUGUGUCUUCUGGGUACGUGAUCCCCCUGACUUCAGUGUGAGAAUGUGGCCAGAGCGUCUGGGGAAGACAGGGAGAGUUGUCAGAGAGGAGUUUUGAGGAGGCCCUGAAGGCUCGCCGGCUGUUAAGGCCUGAGCUGUAGUGGGCAAGAAGAGAUGGCCAGUUCAGGUAGAGGAAGCCUGCUUUGAGCUGAAGACCGGAGGUGAAUCUGGACAGGGCUUCCCAGGACCAGUAUUUUUCCCUCUCCACCCUGGUCUUCUCCUGUAACGUGUGGCCGCCUUUUCCAGCACGGCCUCCUGCCUUCCUGGUGCACUUUUUGGAGAACGUGGUGGAAUCAGAGGUUUCUGGCUGACUCGGUGGGUGCUUUGAACCAGGAAAGGACAAGAAAGAGGAUGGGAAGGACUGAUCCACAUUCCCACCAGGAAGUUUAGCAGAACCCCCGCGUGCCACCUGGACCCCUUGGAAGGACCUGGCUCAGGCUGGACCACCUCUUGAGAGGCAGGAGCUCUGGAUUUGAUCAAGAAUUCUUUGCUGAGCAUGGUGCCUCAUGCCUAUAAUCCCAACACUUUGGGAGGCCAGUGUGGGAGGAUCUCUUGAGCCCAGGAGUUCAAGACUAGCCUGGGCAACACAGAGAGACCCCAUCUCUAAAAUAAUAAUAAUAAUAAAAUAAAAAAUUAGCAGGGCAUGGUGGCAUGUGCCUGUAGUCCCAGCUACCCAGGAGGCUGAGGCAAGAGGAUGGCUGGAGCCUGGGAUGUUGAGGCUGCAAUGAACUGUGAUUACCCCACUGCACUCCAGCCUGGGCAAAAGAGCGAGAGACCCUGUCUCAAAUAAUAAUAAUAAUAAUAAUCUUAUUUUGGAGAAUAAAGAGACCUCUGGAUUUGAGGUGCCAUUUGGGUAGAAAGAAAAGACGUUUACACCGAGAAAUAGUCUGUGUUGCCCUGAAGGAGCAGAGGGAUGCAUCGCUGGAGGUGACCUACAGUUGAAGAAGACUCAUUAUGACAGACCUUGUCCUUCUUCCUUGUGGAAAGUGUUUCCUCUGCUGCUACUGCUCAUGAGACUCUUCCCCCUCCCUGUCCCAGGGAACCAAAGGGCUUUCUACCACACCCUUUCUUGCCCCCCGCCUCCCAUGUCUGCUGUGCCUUUGUACUCAGCAAUUCUUGUUUGCUCCAUUAUCUUCCAGCCGGAUACAGAGUGAAUAGUUAACCACACUUAGGUCAAAUAGGAUCUAAAUUUUUGUUCCUGCUCCGUGUAAAGAGGCCAGUGUUUGUGUGUUGCAAGCAGCCUUGGAAUAGUAACUCUUCUCAUUUGUUUGGGAUCUGGCCACCAAGUUCCAGAAUGAUACACGGAUCAGUGCAGAAGUUCAUCAGGCUCUCGGACCUUAGGGCUGUUGGAGAAGGCUUCAGCAGCAGAACUGAUGGUGAAGGCUCGUGUUCUCCAUCCUCAACUUUCUUUGCUUCGAUCAUACACAAGAAUACAUUUGGAAGGGCAAAAAAUGAACACUGUCGUUCAUUGCAGCCGUGUUUUGUGACACAGAUGCACAGUCUGCUGUGAAGACCUUCUCUCAAGUGGCAUUUGGGAGUCCAUGCCAGAUCAUGGUGCUUCAUGAGAGACUGACAGCUAUCAGGGGUUGUGGCACUUAGUGAGGACUCUCCUCCCCCAGUGUGUGCUGAUGACACAUACACACCUGACAAUAGCUUGAGUCUUCUCUGUUCCUUUUACUCUGUAGCCAACAUACACAUGAUUUAAAACCCUUUCUAAAUAUCUAUCAUGGUUCAUCCUUGUCCAAAUGCAGAGUCAGAGCUAUUUGUACUUCAUUAUUAUUUCCAAGGCGAAUAGUUGGCUUUCUUUUUGCAAAAAUAAUUAAAGUUUUUGUAUGUUGCA